GACGAACGCUGGCGGCGUGCCUAAUACAUGCAAGUUGAGCGCUGAAGGUUGGUACUUGUACCAACUGGAUGAGCAGCGAACGGGUGAGUAACGCGUGGGAAUCUGCCUUUUAGCGGGGGACAACAUUUGGAAACGAAUGCUAAUACCGCAUAAAAACUUUAAACUCCAGUUUUAAGUUUUAAAUAUGCAAUUGCAUCACUCAAAGAUGAUCCCGCGUUGUAUUAGCUAGUUGGUGAGGUAAAGGCUCACCAAGGCGAUGAUACAUAGCCGACCUGAGAGGGGGAUCGGCCACAUUGGGAAUGAGACACGGCCCAAACUCCUACGGGAGGCAGCAGUAGGGAAUCUUCGGCAAUGGACGAAAGUCUGACCGAGCAACGCCGCGUGAGUGAAGAAGGUUUUCGGAUCGUAAAACUCUGUUGGUAGAGAAGAACGUUGGUGAGAGUGGAAAGCUCAUCAAGUGACGGUAACUACCCAGAAAGGGACGGCUAACUACGUG
RNAcentral lists this ribosomal RNA (496 nucleotides) under uncultured bacterium. RNAcentral's name for it is "partial 16S ribosomal RNA". It matches the Rfam family "Bacterial small subunit ribosomal RNA", at positions 28 to 507 of the family's 1533-position model. The record is from RNAcentral.